GACGAACGCUGGCGGCGUGCCUAAUACAUGCAAGUAGAACGCUGAAGGAGGAGCUUGCUCUUCUGGAUGAGUUGCGAACGGGUGAGUAACGCGUAGGUAACCUGCCUGGUAGCGGGGGAUAACUAUUGGAAACGAUAGCUAAUACCGCAUAAGAGUAGAUGUUGCAUGACAUUUGCUUAAAAGGUGCAAUUGCAUCACUACCAGAUGGACCUGCGUUGUAUUAGCUAGUUGGUGGGGUAACGGCUCACCAAGGCGACGAUACAUAGCCGACCUGAGAGGGUGAUCGGCCACACUGGGACUGAGGCACGGCCCAGACUCCUACGGGAGGCAGCAGUAGGGAAUCUUCGGCAAGGGACGGAAGUCUGACCGAGCAACGCCGCGUGAGUGAAGAAGGUUUUCGGAUCGUAAAGCUCUGUUGUAAGAGAAGAACGAGUGUGAGAGUGGAAAGUUCACACUGUGACGGUAUCUUACCAGAAAGGGACGGCUAACUACGUG
RNAcentral lists this ribosomal RNA (495 nucleotides) under uncultured bacterium. RNAcentral's name for it is "partial 16S ribosomal RNA". It matches the Rfam family "Bacterial small subunit ribosomal RNA", at positions 28 to 507 of the family's 1533-position model. The record is from RNAcentral.